UACGUAGGGUGCAAGCGUUGUCCGGAAUUAUUGGGCGUAAAGAGCUCGUAGGCGGUCUGUCACGUCGGCUGUGAAAACCCGAGGCUCAACCUCGGGCCUGCAGUCGAUACGGGCAAACUAGAGUACUGCAGGGGAGACUGGAAUUCCUGGUGUAGCGGUGAAAUGCGCAGAGCUCGGGAGGAACACCCGUGGCGUAGGCGGCCCCCUGGGCCGCGCCUGACGCUGAGACGCGAAAGCGUGGGGAGCGAACAGG
RNAcentral lists this ribosomal RNA (253 nucleotides) under uncultured bacterium. Its description in RNAcentral is "partial 16S ribosomal RNA". It matches the Rfam family "Bacterial small subunit ribosomal RNA", at positions 524 to 776 of the family's 1533-position model. The record is from RNAcentral.